This 449-nucleotide ribosomal RNA is filed under the name uncultured prokaryote. RNAcentral describes it as "bacterial SSU rRNA". It matches the Rfam family "Bacterial small subunit ribosomal RNA", at positions 355 to 796 of the family's 1533-position model. The record is from RNAcentral.
UAGGGAAUAUUGCACAAUGGGCGAAAGCCUGAUGCAGCCAUGCCGCGUGUGUGAAGAAGGCCUUAGGGUUGUAAAGCACUUUCAGUGGCGAAGAAAAAGCCGGCGCCAAUACCGCCGGCCAUUGACGUUAACCACAGAAGAAGCACCGGCCAACUCCGUGCCAGCAGCCGCGGUAAUACGGAGGGUGCGAACGUUAAUCGGAAUUACUGGGCGUAAAGCGCGCGUAGGCGGUUUGUUAAGUGAGAUGUGAAAGCCCCGGGCUCAACCUGGGAACUGCGUUUCAAACUGGCAAACUAGAGUUCAGUAGAGGGAGGUGGAAUUUCCUGUGUAGCGGUGGAAUGCGUAGAUAUAGGAAGGAACACCAGUGGCGAAGGCGGCCUCCUGGACUGAAACUGACGCUCAUGUGCGAAAGCGUGGGGAGCAAACAGGAUUAGAUACCCCCGUAGUCC